UAUAGCGGUUGUUAAUACAGUUUGGUGUU
RNAcentral lists this non-coding RNA (29 nucleotides) under Homo sapiens (human). The record is from RNAcentral. Lineage: Eukaryota; Metazoa; Chordata; Mammalia; Primates; Hominidae.